This 246-nucleotide ribosomal RNA is filed under the name uncultured bacterium. RNAcentral describes it as "partial 16S ribosomal RNA". It matches the Rfam family "Bacterial small subunit ribosomal RNA", at positions 116 to 355 of the family's 1533-position model. The record is from RNAcentral.
CGUGGGUAACCUGCCCAAGAGACUGGGAUAACACCUGGAAACAGAUGCUAAUACCGGAUAACAACACUAGACGCAUGUCUAGNGUUUAAAAGAUGGUUCUGCUAUCACUCUUGGAUGGACCUGCGGUGCAUUAGCUAGUUGGUAAGGUAACGGCUUACCAAGGCAAUGAUGCAUAGCCGAGUUGAGAGACUGAUCGGCCACAUUGGGACUGAGACACGGUCCAAACUCCUACGGGAGGCAGCAGCC